CAAAGUUUUUUUUCAUGUUUUUUUUUUUUUGGCUCUUUAACCCAAUAGGAAAGCUGUAUAUGACCUUUUAAUUUUGGACUGUUAACAUUCAAAUUAUGAUGGACUUGUUUCCUUGUUUAUGUGAAUUACAACAUCAUUAGCUGCAACAUCUGCCUGUUCUGUAAAACUGGUAGCUCAACGACAGCAUCCUGAGGGCAAUUAAGUGACAAAUAUUGUGCAAGAACAGCACUAUUACAACCCUGACAAUUUCCACUUCUUAGAAUGUUUACUGCCAAUUAUCACACAUAAAACAAGAAAUAAUAUUCUGUACUAAUACUUCUGUACUAGCCAAUACACAGUGAAUAAAUAUUAUCUGAAAGUCGG
Long non-coding RNA from Amphiprion ocellaris (clown anemonefish), 363 nucleotides. RefSeq lists it as uncharacterized. Lineage: Eukaryota; Metazoa; Chordata; Actinopteri; Pomacentridae. The record is from RefSeq and is a predicted model, not a curated record. The transcript is spliced from 2 exons.